This is a long non-coding RNA of Bubalus bubalis (water buffalo), 337 nucleotides long. RefSeq lists it as uncharacterized. NCBI's taxonomy places the organism in Eukaryota, Metazoa, Chordata, Mammalia, Artiodactyla, Bovidae. The transcript is spliced from 2 exons. The record is from RefSeq and is a predicted model, not a curated record.
CCUCAGUCCCACGGAGACCCCUCCGCCACUCGCCUACGCUAGUAAAUCGGUAUUGCAGGACCGCCAACUCAGAAUCCUGAGCGCCUACGCCAUGGGACCCUUAGCUCCUGGAUCUUGGGUCUUAGAGAAUGUGCAGAAAGCCAGGAGAUUUACUAUUCGCUGAGAAGCCUUUGCUGACGGUGCCUCUCCUCUAAUCUGCAUCCUCCAACUCAAAACCCAGAUCAAAUGUCUUCAACGAUGCUUCUUGUCAUUUUCUCAGCUCAGGGCAAUACCUCCCUUCAUCCCAUCUUCUGAAUCGGGCAAACUCCUACUCACUUCUCAAGUAAAAUGUGUCCCC